UACGCUGGCGGCGUGCUUAUWCAUGCAAGUCGAACGGUGAACACGGAGCUUGCUCUGUGGGAUCAGUGGCGAACGGGUGAGUAACACGUGAGCAACCUGCCCCUGACUCUGGGAUAAGCGCUGGAAACGGCGUCUAAUACUGGAUACGAACCACGAAGGCAUCUUCAGUGGUUGGAAAGAAUUUCGGUUGGGGAUGGGCUCGCGGCCUAUCAGCUUGUUGGUKWGGUAAUGGCUCACCAAGGCGUCGACGGGUAGCCGGCCUGAGAGGGUGACCGGCCACACUGGGACUGAGACACGGCCCAGACUCCUACGGGAGGCAGCAGUGGGGAAUAUUGCACAAUGGGCGAAAGCCUGAUGCAGCAACGCCGCGUGAGGGAUGACGGCCUUCGGGUUGUAAACCUCUUUUAGCAGGGAAGAAGCGAAAGUGACGGUHCCUGCAGAAAAAGCGCCGGCUAACUACGUGCCAGCAGCCGYGGUAAUACCGUAGGGCGCAAGCCUUUAUUCCGGAAU
Molecule: ribosomal RNA, 510 nt
Filed under: Bacillus cereus
Lineage: Bacteria; Bacillati; Bacillota; Bacilli; Caryophanales; Bacillaceae
Description: bacterial SSU rRNA
Rfam family: Bacterial small subunit ribosomal RNA
Source: RNAcentral